UACGUGGGGGGCAAGCGUUGUCCGGAUUUAUUGGGCGUAAAGAGCGUGUAGGCGGCCAGACAGGUCCGUUGUGAAAACUGGAGGCUCAACCUCCAGACGUCGAUGGAAACCGUCUGGCUAGAGUCCGGAAGAGGAGAGUGGAAUUCCUGGUGUAGCGGUGAAAUGCGCAGAUAUCAGGAAGAACACCCGUGGCGAAAGCGGCUCUCUGGGACGGUACUGACGCUGAGACGCGAAAGCGUGGGGAGCGAACAGG
RNAcentral lists this ribosomal RNA (253 nucleotides) under uncultured bacterium. Its description in RNAcentral is "partial 16S ribosomal RNA". It matches the Rfam family "Bacterial small subunit ribosomal RNA", at positions 524 to 776 of the family's 1533-position model. The record is from RNAcentral.